GGAAAAAAAUCCAAACGACAGACACAGUGUAUAGAAAAACAAGAACAGUGAAAGACGGCAACGAUACAGACAAAAGAAAAAAAUAAAGAUUUUAUUAUUGUAUACAUUUAUUUUUUAUUUUCUUAUAAAAAAUAGUAAUUAAUCUAAAAUAAAAUUACACCACCAACAACAACCCCAAACAAAUAACAGCAAUAUAAAUAAAAAGUUAAGAAAAAACGGGGAAAUUUAUUCCCUCCUCAAAAAAAAGCGAAAGUGUUUAGUUAAACUUACAAAUUAAACAAAUCGUAAAAAUUUAUAUAAAGUUUUUACACAAAAAAAAAAAAGAAGAAGACUGAAAAAAAACAGUAAUAAGAAAAAAAUUAUAACAAAAUGUGUGGAGGUUUUACAUGUUCGAAAAAUGCAUUAAUUGCUUUAAAUAUUUUAUAUGUGCUGGUUGGUUUCCUGUUAAUUGGCGUUGGCGUUUAUGCUCGUGCUGCUUCAAUUGUUACAAAUCUUCCUAUAGUUGGCGGUAUAUUGGCAUGUGGUAUAAUUUUAAUAUUAAUUUCCAUACUGGGCCUGGUUGGUGCCGUUAAACAUCAUCAAGUUAUGCUGUUUUUCUACAUGAUCAUUUUGUUUUUGCUCUUCCUGAUACAAUUCUCCAUUGCCAGCUCUUGUUUGGCUGUUAAUUCCGAACAGCAACAAGAAUUUGCUGAAGAAGGAUGGAAUCGUGUACCCGACUCUAUGCGCAAACAGGUUCAGGAUACUUUCCUUUGCUGUGGCUUUAAUUCGACUAGCACCUCGACCUCGGCCGAUGUCUCGUGUGAUGUUAUUCAAAAGCAAUGUUGCGGCUCAUCGUAUGAUCUUAAUUGUCAGUGUUCACCCUGUUUGCCUAAGUUGGAGGAUAAAAUCAAUUAUGCCUUUAAAUUGUGCGGUGGUUUGGGUAUAUUCUUUAGUUUUACAGAGUUUAUUGGUGUUUGGCUAACUGUACGUUAUCGUAAUCAAAAAGAUCCUCGCGGUUUACCCAGUGCAUUUCUUUAAAUUCAUUUAAAUAAUUGUAACACUAAACAAAACUAAAAUUAAAUAACAACAAACAUUCUAAUCUUAAAAUCUUCUAGUCAGUCCAUGAAAUGACACAUUUCUCUUAAAAUUUUCAAAAAAAAUCUCCAAAUCUUUUUACUACACACACAUUUUCACACACAGACAUACAAUAAUUAGUAUUUUAGGGCUAUUUUAAAGAAAUAUUUAAAAAAUAAAAAUAUAAUUAUAAUUAAAUAAACAAAAUUAUGUUUAUUAAACAAAUAUUUAUUAUACAUUACAUACAUACAUGCAUACAUAUACGUGAAAAUAUAAUUAAUAUUUAUUCAUAAAAUUAUCAUAAAUUAAUCAAUCAUACAUUAUAUACAAAUGAAAACAUGCAUUCUAAUACUUAAUUAUAUACGAAUUAUUAUACGAUACAUAAUAAUCAUUAAUAACAUUAUUACAUUUUCAUACUUCAUUUAUAAACAAUAUAUUAUUAUAAUUAUAAACAAAUUAAAACCGAAUGAAAAAAUACAAUUUAUUACGUAUAAUUUUAGUUUUUAAGUCAAAAAUAUUUAUUACUUCAUAUUAAAAAAAAACUUGUAUCUCUACUUAUGAGUUUAAACACAAUUGCAGCGUUGCGUUUUAAAUUGAAGAAGAAUUCCUUUCUCGUUGUAAUUUCCUUUGAAGUCUUAACCAAUUGCGUUUAUUCUCUUGUACAGCCUUCGUUUUGUAUUUUUUUUAAAUAGAAAGUCAUGUAAACAAUUAUUUUAUAAGAACUUUUUAUUAAUCCACCAAGUUUUUUAUCAUAGCACUAACUUUACCCGGGUUUCAUUAAGCUUUUUUUUAAUAUAAAAUACAUUAAUAUAAAUCAUCAGAAUUAAUCAAAUUAACUACUUUUUAUGAAUGUUUUUGGAAGUAUAUUACUUUGCAUACUUUUUCACACAAUCUAACUUUAAUCUUGAGAACCAUCAAUUAUUGGGUACUUGCUGUCUUUUUAGCCCGUCGUUAUCGCAAUCAACAAGAUCCUCAUUAUCUACCUGCUCGUGCAAUAUUUCCCCACAAUUAUUUAUAUUAAAGAUCAAAUCCAAAAACAUAUAACAUAACUAGGCAUAUUAUAAAAAUUUUUUAUUGAAAAUAUCAGGAUUCAAGUAGUUUAGUUAAAAGAUACAAUUUUUUAAAGGUUACUAAUUAAUUUUUAAAGUUUUAGUUUUUGUUUUACUUUUUUUGUAAUUUAAUUUAUUAGUCAAAAUGGGACGAAGGCUGAUUAUUGUUUAAUAAUAAAUGAAAAAUCUUUAAUAAAACAAAUUACUAAAUUA
RNAcentral lists this unclassified non-coding RNA (2315 nucleotides) under Lucilia cuprina (Australian sheep blowfly). Its description in RNAcentral is "tetraspanin-13, transcript variant X2". The record is from RNAcentral. Lineage: Eukaryota; Metazoa; Arthropoda; Insecta; Diptera; Calliphoridae.